GUGUCCGGUAGCAGCCUUUGUUUACUGCCCUGCCCCACCCACCUCCCCAUGGAUGAAAAAGGGUAACUUACCUUUCAUCACAGGCCUUAAUGCUUUCUCUGCAGUCAGUCCUGCCUCCUUGGCCAAGAUCAUCAAGGCUAUUUAUCUCAGCCAAUCCAAUGUUUUCCUAAAGCAUUUGAGGCUACAGCGCAGCAAAUGUCACACUGUGCCAAUAAGAUGGUCUCUAUGAGAUCAUCUCAGGGGUGUGGAAUCUAAAAAGGAAAAAACAGACUUGUGUCCAUCAAAUUCAGCCUUCC
Molecule: non-coding RNA, 296 nt
Organism: Pelobates cultripes (western spadefoot toad)
Lineage: Eukaryota; Metazoa; Chordata; Amphibia; Anura; Pelobatidae
Source: the annotation of a GenBank genome assembly